CUCUGGGCACCCUCACAGACAUGCUCUCCGGAGAGCCCGCUGGCCGUCUGUGCCCUCACUUGCUCCUUCAUUCAAAGCCUCCUGCCAAACGCUUUGUGUGCGGGGAAGCAGACCCAGCUCCUGCCGGGAAGGGUGCCAGUGCCCGGGACCGCGGAGCCACUGGUGCAAACACGGAAUUUAAAGUGGGGAGGCGGGGCAGGGGACGUGGACGCGGCCCCGCGGGCCCAGGCCAGGCCUGCCUGGGGAGGAGGUAUUUUGACUUUUAAGGCCACCCUGAAGGACAGUCCAUUGAUGACCUGAACAAAUGGGCCCUGUUUCUUGUCUCUCCCUUUAUACUUGAAGCAGAACACAUAGCAUUUGUGACAGAGAGCAUUUGGGUACAAGGUGACAGUUUACAGAGACCAUCUUCUGAAACAAGCAAAUUUGAAGUGUCCUGUUUGCUUUUAACCGCUGGAAAGCAGACCCCCCCCACCCCCGGACGAAGUAUCAGUGACAGUGCGGCUUCACUUUGAUCAGAGCACCCAGCGCUACCUGAAGGAGUUCGCAUGGUCUGUGGCUCAGGGACUGCGUUCCUAGAGACAGGAAGCGCACUUAGGUGAGGUCACAGUUGCAGGCUGAG
Non-coding RNA from Ictidomys tridecemlineatus (thirteen-lined ground squirrel), 619 nucleotides. Lineage: Eukaryota; Metazoa; Chordata; Mammalia; Rodentia; Sciuridae. The record is from RefSeq and is a predicted model, not a curated record.